UGUGGCAGAAAAGUGCCAUGGAUUUAAGCUCCAUAAAUAAAGGAGUCUUACCUUUCAUUAAAA
RNAcentral lists this transfer RNA (63 nucleotides) under Indolestes peregrinus. Its description in RNAcentral is "tRNA-Leu". Lineage: Eukaryota; Metazoa; Arthropoda; Insecta; Odonata; Lestidae. The record is from RNAcentral.